CAAUAGCGUAUAUUAAAGUUGUUGCAGUUAAAAAGCUCGUAGUUGGAUUUCUGGUCGGAAGCUCCUGUCCUCUGAUGAGCGUACAAGUGCGUCCUACCAUCCUUCUGUUAACCUUUAAGGCUUUCGCGGCUUUCUAGGGGCUCAGAUAUUUUACCUUGAGAAAAUUAGAGUGUUUCAGGCAGGCUAGCGCCGGAAUACAUUAGCAUGGAAUAAUGGAAUAGGACUUUUGCCUCUUCUGUUGGUCAUGAGGCUCGAGUAAUGAUUAAUAGGGAUAGUUGGGGGCAUUAGUACAUAACUGUCAGAGGUGAAAUUCUCGGAUUUGUUAAAGACUAACUUAUGCGAAAGCAUUUGCCAAGGAUGUUUNCAUUA
This 369-nucleotide ribosomal RNA is filed under the name uncultured eukaryote. RNAcentral describes it as "partial 18S ribosomal RNA". It matches the Rfam family "Eukaryotic small subunit ribosomal RNA", at positions 592 to 975 of the family's 1831-position model. The record is from RNAcentral.